AUGAUAAAAACGUUGAUCAGCCA
RNAcentral lists this non-coding RNA (23 nucleotides) under Arabidopsis thaliana (thale cress). Lineage: Eukaryota; Viridiplantae; Streptophyta; Magnoliopsida; Brassicales; Brassicaceae. The record is from RNAcentral.